RNAcentral lists this ribosomal RNA (559 nucleotides) under uncultured bacterium. RNAcentral describes it as "bacterial SSU rRNA". It matches the Rfam family "Bacterial small subunit ribosomal RNA", at positions 120 to 674 of the family's 1533-position model. The record is from RNAcentral.
GGGAAACUGCCUGAUGGAGGGGGAUAACUACUGGAAACGGUAGCUAAUGCCGCAUAACGUCGCAAGACCAAAGAGGGGGACCUUCGGGCCUCUUGCCAUCAGAUGUGCCCAGAUGGGAUUAGCUAGUAGGUGGGGUAACGGCUCACCUAGGCGACGAUCCCUAGCUGGUCUGAGAGGAUGACCAGCCACACUGGAACUGAGACACGGUCCAGACUCCUACGGGAGGCAGCAGUGGGGAAUAUUGCACAAUGGGCGCAAGCCUGAUGCAGCCAUGCCGCGUGUAUGAAGAAGGCCUUCGGGUUGUAAAGUACUUUCAGCGAGGAGGAAGGUGUUGAGGUUAAUAACCUCAGCAAUUGACGUUACUCGCAGAAGAAGCACCGGCUAACUCCGUGCCAGCAGCCGCGGUAAUACGGAGGGUGCAAGCGUUAAUCGGAAUUACUGGGCGUAAAGCGCACGCAGGCGGUCUGUCAAGUCGGAUGUGAAAUCCCCGGGCUCAACCUGGGAACUGCAUUCGAAACUGGCAGGCUAGAGUCUUGUAGAGGGGGGUAGAAUUCCAGGU